AGGAUGAACGCUGGCGGCGUGCCUAAUACAUGCAAGUCGAGCGGUAAGGCCACUUCGGUGGUACACGAGCGGCGGACGGCUGAGUAACACGUAGGAACGUACCCCAAACUGAGGCAUAAGCACCAGAAAUGGUGUCUAAUACCGCAUGUGCUCUUCGGAGUAAAGCUACGGCGGUUUGGGAACGGCCUGCGCAUGAUUAGCUUGUUGGUGAGGUAAAAGCUCACCAAGGCGACGAUCAUUAGCUGGUCUGAGAGGAUGACCAGCCAGACUGGGACUGAGAACGGCCCAGACUCCUACGGGAGGCAGCAGUAGGGAAUUUUCCACAAUGGGCGAAAGCCUGAUGGAGCAACGCCGCGUGCAGGACGAAGGCCUUCGGGUCGUAAACUGCUUUUAUCUGUGACGAUUAUGACGGUAGCAGAUGAAUAAGGAUCGGCUAACUCCGUGCCAGCAGCCGC
Molecule: ribosomal RNA, 455 nt
Filed under: uncultured bacterium
Lineage: Bacteria
Description: SSU rRNA
Rfam family: Bacterial small subunit ribosomal RNA
Source: RNAcentral